UUGGGAUCACAGCUUGAAAGGCUCUUCUUGGUCCGUGGGACUGGGGCAGUCAGGACAAUUUCAGGCCUUCCUGAUUCAAUCUUGGGAGAUUGUAUGUUCCCAGGAAUUUAUCCAUUUCCUCUAGAUUUUCUAAUUUGUGUGCAUAGAAUUCUGAGUACAAAUUCUGCUUCUGGCAGAGCAUUUAGGUGACUUAGUCUGCUGACAAAGCUGCAUCAAAAUGCAGAGGUUGUGAUUUUAAAAAAUGAAUCAACUGUUAUCUAUAAGAGACAUACUUUACAUUCAAAGACACAAAUAGGUUGAAAGUAAUAGGCAUGGGAAGUCAAACUAAAACACUGAAUUACUAUACUUUGUCCACCAGAUGAGUGAGGAUCAAAUUUUGAAGAUGUACUAGUAGGGGCUGAAACCAAAGGCAGCCUGGGUACCCAGGU
Molecule: long non-coding RNA, 428 nt
Filed under: Homo sapiens (human)
Lineage: Eukaryota; Metazoa; Chordata; Mammalia; Primates; Hominidae
Description: non-protein coding lnc-NPY4R-1:2
Source: RNAcentral